This is a non-coding RNA of Ixodes scapularis (black-legged tick), 73 nucleotides long. NCBI's taxonomy places the organism in Eukaryota, Metazoa, Arthropoda, Arachnida, Ixodida, Ixodidae. The record is from Rfam.
UCCUUGUUAGCUCAGUUAAUAGUGCGCUCCACUGGAAAUGGAGAGGUCCCUGGUUCGAUACCAGAACCAGGCG